Molecule: long non-coding RNA, 619 nt
Organism: Saccostrea echinata
Lineage: Eukaryota; Metazoa; Mollusca; Bivalvia; Ostreida; Ostreidae
Exons: 4
Source: RefSeq, a predicted model, not a curated record
CCCGAGUAGUUUGUAAAUUGUGGGGAGACCAUGCCGACAAGUGUCUGCCGCAGAAUGAUGAAGUCGUGACUGUCUGCAACGUAGAAGUUGCAACAUUUAAAGAUAUAAUUUCACUAAAUUCAACCCUGCUUACUUCCAUAAAGGAAUCCGAAGAGAACACCAUAGUCGAAGGAAAAGUCGAAGGGGUAGAUUUUAGAGAGGACUUCAGCUAUCUCAUCAUUGACACAAAAACUUAUAAAGUAAAAACAACGGAACUGGAAAGAAUAUUUCCCAGAGGGUUCGAACAAGACAUACAUAUCAAAGGAAGCGCUCAUGGAUUUACCAUUGUUGAACUAGAGAAGAUCAACCCAGCAAAGAAACCUAAGAGAGAUUAAACUUUUCAAGAAAAGUACUUCUUUUGAACAAUUUGAACAACGCCCAUUUCAUUUCAGCUAUAAUUCAAAGCUCAAAUAAGCUUUUCUAAUCAUAAUUUGGUCGUCUGUCUAGCUGUCCGUCUGUCUGUAAACAUUUCAUAUUUUUAACUUCUUUUCAAGAACCACUGGACCAAUUUCAAUAAAACUAAACACAAAGCAUCCUUGACCACAGAAGACUCAACUACUAUCUUCAUAUGAAAGGCCAU